UGUUAAAGGUUUUCUGAUAAUGGCCUGUGAAAUUCCUGUUUUCCAUUUUUGAAAGAAUCUCUCCUACAUCUAUGAGUGAAAAUGCUUCCAUUGAAAACAGACUUUUGAAAGAGUACAUCAAGUGCCUUAAAAAAGAUGCAAUUAUAUCAACAAAUGAAAAAAAAAAGAGGUCUAGCCCAACUUCCAGUUUGAAGUAACCCACCAACCGGAGUAGAACCGCUGGCUGGCUUCUACAGAAUGGCGCCCAAAGUGGGGCUCUGAUGUGGGAGAAAUGGACUAAAGGCCACACUGUCAGAUACAGAGCUCUGAAUAAAAAGAAAGAAGGAACCAAAGGAA
Molecule: long non-coding RNA, 336 nt
Organism: Mastomys coucha (southern multimammate mouse)
Lineage: Eukaryota; Metazoa; Chordata; Mammalia; Rodentia; Muridae
Exons: 4
Source: RefSeq, a predicted model, not a curated record